UGUACCUGAAGAUGAUGAAGAGAAUUUUGGAGAGCAUGUAGGUGCUCCAGAAGAACGUUUUGAAACUGCUGUUGAAACUGCACGCCGGGAGCGUGAAGAAAGACGUAAGCGUUUGAGAAAUGAGCGUUCAGACGACAGACCUGUGCAUGUGCCUAGGCAGCCAGUGCAUGAACAAUACUAUCCAACCAAACACUUUAAAACUUAUGAUAAAACUAAGCUACCUCCUGGCUGGUUGGAU
RNAcentral lists this unclassified non-coding RNA (238 nucleotides) under Hevea brasiliensis (rubber tree). Lineage: Eukaryota; Viridiplantae; Streptophyta; Magnoliopsida; Malpighiales; Euphorbiaceae. The record is from RNAcentral.